This is a long non-coding RNA of Pleuronectes platessa (European plaice), 961 nucleotides long. RefSeq lists it as uncharacterized. NCBI's taxonomy places the organism in Eukaryota, Metazoa, Chordata, Actinopteri, Pleuronectiformes, Pleuronectidae. The transcript is spliced from 3 exons. The record is from RefSeq and is a predicted model, not a curated record.
CGCAGGAGCUUGCUAACAGGCAGCGUCCUCAGGCUCUCGUUUGGUCCUUUCUAUAAGGAGGUGAAUGCAGUGGGCCAAGGGCAGUGUGACCAGACGUCCCCGAUUUCCGGGGACAGUCCCCGUUUUCGGUGAUCUGUCCCCGGUCAAAGCUGUCCCCGGAAAUGUCCCCGAUUUUGACACUGAAUGGGGGAAAAAUCCGCGCAGACUCAAACACCAGUUAUUACUGUAGUCAUUUAACGCAUCACCAGAGAAGACGUCGUAUGACGUACAGAUGUUAUCAAGACGCACGACCAGACGCAGCAGCGUCAACAACAACAAUCUAGAGGCGGCAAAAAGGAAAAAGAGAAGAUCAGCGGUCAUAAAUGUAAAGGUGAAAUAAAGAAGUAAACAACAGAGUGAAGGAGAGAAGAGGAAAAGAGCAGGAGAAUAGUGUGGAAAGGCAGAAAUAAAGAAGUAAACAACAGAGGGAAGCUAAGGAGAGAAGAAAGAAGGGUGAAGAAAAGAAAAGCAUUGAAGGAGAAGAGAACAGACGAGAGGCAAAAAGAGUAGAGGAGAAGAUGGCUCUUUCAAAGAAGCGCAAAUGCCAUUUUACAGAACAAAUCCAGAAAGAAUUUCCAUUUAUACGCCCCUGUCGCCCAGGCCAAGACGACACAGUGGUCCACUGCACCCUUUGCCAGUCUUCUUUUUCAAUUGCCAGUGGGGGGAGAUAUUCUGUGGUGGAGCAUCAGCAGACAAAAAAACAUAAAAAAGGUCUGACUGCCAAUGCUCUUACGCCCACUAUCACCACAUUCUAUAAGAAGACAGAGCCUUCCCAAAAGGAGUUCGAGUUAGCUGUGCAGGAGGGCAUCUUGGCGUACCACACUAUGAAACACAAUCAUAGUUACCGAUCUAUGGACUGCACAGCACAACUGACAAAGAAGCUUUAUGAGCCAAAGUUUUCCUGUGGCCGGACCAAAGGUGA